AUUUCGACGAGAAGAUCCUGAGAUUCAUCAAGGGCUACAAGCGAACGUUUAAUCUCGGUAUUCUUGGUUGCGCCUAAAUGAUUUGAAGCAAAUCUGAACCUGUAACUGUAGUUCUUGGUCUGAAGAUAUCACAUCUCAACUUUUCUUUCCCCGCAGCUUGCAUUGACCAUAGAGGCGCACCACAGAAUCCAUCCAGGACCUGCACCCCUGAAUCCGAAGAUGAAGAAAUAUGCGUAAGUUGAUUGCAUCCAUUAAUCAAAUAUCUACAACACAUUGUACUGAUGUGCUGAAGUUUUGAUGAUUUCGAUUGGUCGCUGACAUAACCUCCUAUUUCUCCUUUUGUUUAUAGGUAUUCAACGUGAGGAAUUUCAUACUUUUGGUGUGGUGCUAGCAAAUAUAGUGACCAAAGAUAGUGAUGAGAAAGGGUGGAGCUGAGUAUGCCACACAGGGAUAUGAUUAUUCCCCCUAUGUUCUUUUUGGCAAUCCACUUCAUCACUGACUCAUCUGUGUAUGGGUUCCAAAGUUUGGCCACAACUAGCUUGAUUCGGAGACAUUUCGUAUUAGGAGUUAAACUUUGGUUUGGAGGCAUUGAGCUUUGCCAGUAACUAGCUUUGUUACUUGGUAUACUUCUGUCAGCAUUCAGGAGCCCCGUAGUUGUGUAGCGGGUCGCGGGAGAGGCAGCCGGUGAGUGCGAGCUGGACGGGAAGGUGAUGCCUGCGAUGGCGAACCAUGCCGGCGGACAGGGCAGGGUCGACGCUCUAAAUGUACUGCCUGACAGCUUGUCUUAGUCUUAAUAAAAGUGCAUAUCU
Non-coding RNA from Triticum urartu, 809 nucleotides. Lineage: Eukaryota; Viridiplantae; Streptophyta; Magnoliopsida; Poales; Poaceae. The record is from RefSeq and is a predicted model, not a curated record.